CCUACGGGAGGCAGCAGUAGGGAAUCUUCGGCAAUGGACGGAAGUCUGACCCAGCAACGCCGCGUGAGUGAUGACGGUCUUCGGAUCGUUAAGCUCUGUUUUAAGAGAAGAACGAGCGUGAGAGUGUAAAGUUCACACUGUGACGGUAUCUUACCAGAUAGGGACGCCUAACUCCGUCCCCGCAGCCGCGGUAAUACGUAGGUCCCGAGCGUGGUCCGGAUUUAUUGGGCGUAAAGCGAGCGGAGGCGGUUGGUUAAGUCUGAGGUUAAAGGCUGUGGCUUAACCAUGGUACGCUUUGGAAACUGGUUAACUUGAGUGCAAGAGAGGAGAGUGGAAUGCGAGGUGUAGCGGUGAAAUGCGUAGAUAUAUGGAGGAACACCGGUGGCGAAGGCAGCUCUCUGGCUUUUAACUGACGCUGAGGCACGAAAGCGUGGGGAGCAAACAGGAUUAGAUACCCUAGUAGUC
RNAcentral lists this ribosomal RNA (465 nucleotides) under uncultured bacterium. RNAcentral describes it as "partial 16S ribosomal RNA". It matches the Rfam family "Bacterial small subunit ribosomal RNA", at positions 338 to 795 of the family's 1533-position model. The record is from RNAcentral.